GUUGUUGCAGUUAAAAAGCUCGUAGUUGAAUUUCUGGCAUGGGCGACCGGUGCUUUCCCUGAAUGGGGAUUGAUUGUCUGUGUUGCCUUGGCCAUCUUUCUCUUGUCUUUUUUGGGAAGAAAUCUUUCACUGUAAUCAAAGCAAAGUGUUCCAAGCAGGUCGUAUGACCGGUAUGUUUAUUAUGGGAUGAUAAGAUAGGACUUGGGUGCUAUUUUGUUGGUUUGCACGCCUGAUUAAUGGUUAAUAGGAACAGUUGGGGGUAUUCGUAUUUAGGAGCUAGAGGUGAAAUUCUUGGAUUUCCAAAAGACAAACUAAAGCGAAGGCAUUUACCAAGCAUGUUUUCAUUAAUCAAGAACGAAAGUCUGGGGAUCGAAAAUGAUUAAAUACCAUCGUAGUCUAAACCGUAAACGAUGCCAACUUGCGAUUGUUGGGUGCUUUUUUAUGGGCCCCC
Molecule: ribosomal RNA, 451 nt
Filed under: Aurantiochytrium sp.
Lineage: Eukaryota; Bigyra; Thraustochytrida; Thraustochytriidae
Description: SSU rRNA
Rfam family: Eukaryotic small subunit ribosomal RNA
Source: RNAcentral